GCACCCGUAGCUCAGCUGGAUAGAGCGCUUGCCUCCGGAGCAAGAGGUCAUGAGUUCGAAUCUCGUCGGGUGUACCA
This 77-nucleotide transfer RNA is filed under the name Synergistales bacterium. Its description in RNAcentral is "tRNA-Arg". It matches the Rfam family "tRNA". From Rfam's summary of the family: Transfer RNA (tRNA) molecules are approximately 80 nucleotides in length. The record is from RNAcentral. Lineage: Bacteria; Thermotogati; Synergistota; Synergistia; Synergistales.